GAUGAACGCUGGCGGCGUGCCUAAUACAUGCAAGUCGAGCGAACGGACGAGAAGCUUGCUUCUCUGAUGUUAGCGGCGGACGGGUGAGUAACACGUGGAUAACCUACCUAUAAGACUGGGAUAACUUCGGGAAACCGGAGCUAAUACCGGAUAAUAUUUUGAACCGCAUGGUUCAAAAGUGAAAGACGGUCUUGCUGUCACUUAUAGAUGGAUCCGCGCUGCAUUAGCUAGUUGGUAAGGUAACGGCUUACCAAGGCAACGACGCAUAGCCGACCUGAGAGGGUGAUCGCCCACACUGAAACUGAGACACGGUCCAGACUCCUACGGGAGGCAGCAGUAGGGAAUCUUCCGCAAUGGGCGAAAGCCUGACGGAGCAACGCCGCGUGAGUGAUGAAGGUCUUCGGAUCGUAAAACUCUGUUAUUAGGGAAGAACAUAUGUGUAAGUAACUGUGCACAUCUUGACGGUACCUAAUCAGAAAGCCACGGCUAACUACGUG
Molecule: ribosomal RNA, 497 nt
Filed under: uncultured bacterium
Lineage: Bacteria
Description: partial 16S ribosomal RNA
Rfam family: Bacterial small subunit ribosomal RNA
Source: RNAcentral